RNAcentral lists this ribosomal RNA (451 nucleotides) under uncultured bacterium. RNAcentral's name for it is "bacterial SSU rRNA". It matches the Rfam family "Bacterial small subunit ribosomal RNA", at positions 349 to 793 of the family's 1533-position model. The record is from RNAcentral.
CAGCAGUGGGGAAUAUUGCACAAUGGGCGCAAGCCUGAUGCAGCCAUGCCGCGUGUAUGAAGAAGGCCUUCGGGUUGUAAAGUACUUUCAGCAGUGAGGAAGGUGGGUAUGUUAAUAGCAUACUCAUUUGACGUUAGCUGCAGAAGAAGCACCGGCUAACUCCGUGCCAGCAGCCGCGGUAAUACGGAGGGUGCGAGCGUUAAUCGGAAUUACUGGGCGUAAAGCGCAUGCAGGUGGUUUGUUAAGUCAGAUGUGAAAGCCCGGGGCUCAACCUCGGAAUUGCAUUUGAAACUGGCAAACUAGAGUACUGUAGAGGGGGUAGAAUUUCAGGUGUAGCGGUGAAAUGCGUAGAGAUCUGAAGGAAUACCGGUGGCGAAGGCGGCCCCCUGGACAGAUACUGACACUCAGAUGCGAAAGCGUGGGGAGCAAACAGGAUUAGAUACCCUGAUAG